CGGGUGAGUAACACGUAUCCAACCUGCCGUCUACUCUUGGACAGCCUUCUGAAAGGAAGAUUAAUACAAGAUGGCAUCAUGAGUCCGCAUGCUCACAUGAUUAAAGGUAUUCCGGUAGACGAUGGGGAUGCGUUCCAUUAGAUAGUAGGCGGGGUAACGGCCCACCUAGUCUUCGAUGGAUAGGGGUUCUGAGAGGAAGGUCCCCCACACUGGAACUGAGACACGGUCCAA
RNAcentral lists this ribosomal RNA (231 nucleotides) under uncultured bacterium. RNAcentral's name for it is "partial 16S ribosomal RNA". It matches the Rfam family "Bacterial small subunit ribosomal RNA", at positions 103 to 334 of the family's 1533-position model. The record is from RNAcentral.